Molecule: ribosomal RNA, 253 nt
Filed under: uncultured bacterium
Lineage: Bacteria
Description: partial 16S ribosomal RNA
Rfam family: Bacterial small subunit ribosomal RNA
Source: RNAcentral
UACGUAGGGUCCGAGCGUUAUCCGGAUUUACUGGGCGUAAAGCGCGUUCAGGCGGUUUGGCAAGUCGGGCAUGAAAUCUCUCGGCUCAACCGGGAGAGGUUGUCCGAUACUGCUGGACUUGAGGGCAGUAGAGGGUGGUGGAAUUCCGGGUGUAGUGGUGAAAUGCGUAGAUAUCCGGAGGAACACCAGUGGCGAAAGCGGCCACCUGGACUGUACCUGACGCUGACACGCGAAAGCUAGGGGAGCGAACGGG